RNA transcript from Cercocebus atys (sooty mangabey), 4126 nucleotides. It is a transcript of the gene named survival of motor neuron-related-splicing factor 30 pseudogene, with no coding region annotated. The record is from RefSeq and is a predicted model, not a curated record. Lineage: Eukaryota; Metazoa; Chordata; Mammalia; Primates; Cercopithecidae. The transcript is spliced from 3 exons.
CGAGGAGGAGUAGGAAAAAGAAGGAGGGGAGGGAGGGAGGCAGGCAGGCAGGCAGGCAAGGAAGCCCUCCGAAGCCCUCUGACCGCCCAGGAUGCGACUUGGACACAUCCGAAAGGGCCUAGCGGGAGGCUAGAGAAGCGGCACUUGGGGGGCGAAGACCUUCCCUCCCCUCGCCUCUUAGGCGGCAGAAAGACCCCGGAGCCAAGCAUGAGCCAGUGCACUAGACUGCAGGUCCCGCAGCAACUUGCAGCCGCGUCCCUCCUCUUUCACGCCACCCCCAAACUGGGACACAGCCUCCCACCACCGUGAUGCCCCAAUCCCCUUCCCUACCGCGAUCCCUCUUCUGGAGCCAUUAUCUUCCCAUGGAUUGUUUAGGCAAAGGGCUGGAGAGGGAAUUCUUGGCUCCUUACUUGCUUCUCACAGCCUGCAGCUGCAGACUCAUUCAUUCAUUCAUUCAUUCAUCCAUUCAACUAGGUAUACUGAGCACCUACUAUGUAUUCACUUGUACUGUUGAGUUGCUGGGAACGGUGAAAAAAAAGUGUCCCUAGACUGGUGGAUUUUAUUUUCAGGUGUGCAGGUGUGGGUGGAGGGAGGGUGAGACAAUAAACAAAUGCAAAAACAGUAGAUGAAUUCUAAAAAGGAAAUAGAACCAAACGCUGGUAGUGGAGGUCUUUUCAAGUAGGUGGUCGGGAAAGCCUGUUAAGAUUACAUUUAAGUCAAUGCCUGAAUGACAAAAGGAUGUCAUUCCAACAGUGCUUUGCUAUCUCAGCCUCCAUGUCUCUGCACAUGCCCUCCUGUCCAGCUGGAAUGCCCUUCCACCCCCAUUUUUCUGGUGAACUUUUGCCUCUCCUUCAAGGCCAAGCUUCCUUCCUGAACCACCUAAGUGGAGGUAAUCACUCUCACAUUUGUGCCAUCAGAGUCUUAGGUACUUUCCAAUAUCAUAACAUGGUGUCAUGCAAAGAUUUAUUUGUCUCUCUCCCUCCACAGGAGAGAUGUGGAGGGCCAGGUUGGCAUCUUUUCCCUCUGGGACAAGUACCACAGUAGGAGCUCAUGGGGCCAGGAGGGCUGUGAGAUGCCCUCUGGGCCCCUUCAGCACCUCUUCCCUGGUUCGUGCUGCCUGAAUUGCCCAGGUGCUGUUGAGCUGUGGCCUUGGCUGCUGGCCUGGGGAAAAGUGGAACUGGAAUAUUGGCUUCCCUGGGCCUAGUCAGGACACUUGGCAACCCAUUUCCAACCCAGCAGAAGGUCCCACCUCUUCUGUACCCUGUGAUACUGCCUAAGGACAUCCCUCCCCACAAUGUUGCACCUCAUCCUACAGCUCAAUACCUAGGAUAGAAGGCUAAGAUCUUGGUAAAGACCUUGACCCCAGGACACAAAGUUUGGGGCCUGGGGAAAACUAGGAUGUGUAAGAAACCCAGGACCUGCAUCUGGGACCCAAUUUGACUUCCCCUACAUUCACUAGGCACAGGGAAUGGAAAGUCAGCAAGACCUGGGCCAGCACCCUGUGAAAGCUCACUCCCCAGGUGGAAUUUCAGCACCUUCACUCUAGGAACUGAAGUCUCUAGGAAUAGCUGCGCUUGCUCCACUGGAGGUUUCCUAAGUAAGCAACUACUUUGCCUCCAAUCCAGUCCCCUAUUCUGCUGGGCCUUGGCCUCUCAGCACCACACACCCACUUUCCUUCCUGGGCUUCCUCUUGCCCUGUGUUGGUCUUCCUUCACUCUGCAUUCCCUCUUGUUCUGGAAAAGUGACUUGUGAUCCUCAUAGAGGAAACAGAACUGGUUCUGUGGAUUGGCUUCCGCAAGUUUGCGUGUCCUGAGAUACUUGAAGCCAGCCUAGACCAGCCUGCUCCCUAUCCUGCUCCGGAGCCUGCAGUCUCCAGGUAUAAAAAGCUCCCAUCAUUUCACUGGAGGAUUUCCCUACUGCUCAUUGCUGGGGUUCCUCGAUCGGAGGUUGAAAAUCCUUGACCAACGCAGCUACCUCUUCCUUGGGCUCCCUCUCCAGGGGAAAAGUUCCCCCUGACAGGAUGAACUGCUGCUUCAUUAAAUUGUCCUGUGAGCCAGGAGGAAUCAAAAUCUACCCAUUAGACUUGGAACAGGCCAAGUAAGUUGUUCCUCUGGGCUGUGGUUUUUGAGAUCUAUGGUGGAGAGAAGGGUAAACCAUAUGAUACCAGAGGUCACUUCAGGUUCAACCCUCUUGGGUUCCCUUGGAUGAGUGUGUAACCCCUCCCCACCCACUAAGCUCAGGGUGGGUUGGCACCACUGGUGGAAGAAGUGGGAUAGGUUUUAGAUGGCUAAAACCUAUUUUCCUGUAGAGCCUGAUCUUGAGGAGUUAAGAGGAUGAACUCUGAAGUCAAACUGAGUCCAUUCUAUUCUCAGCAGCACCACAACCAGCAGUGGAAACCUUGAGUAAAUUAGAAGUGCCCUGAACCUCAGUUUCUUCCUCUAUAAAAUGGGUAUGCUUGUAGCACCUUUUUUUGUUGUUGUUCCUACAGUAAAACAUGCAAAUAGUUAAGUAUACAACUCAGUGAAUGUUUAUAUAGUAAAUCUUCAUGUAUCAAUCAUUUUGGCUUUGGAAGUUAAGUAAGAUGAUCAAGCUCAAUACCUAGGAUAUUGCGUUGACGUUCCAGGAAGAUGUCUAGGACGCUAUUCCGCCCUCGAGGCACUCGCAGUUCCCCGGGGUGAGGGAGUGGGGACAGGGGCGGGGAGGCGGGGACCUGGACAGCACAAGGACCGAAAACCCCAGCUCUGCGGGCGCGCGUCACCACGGAGAUCUGGCAGAGCCAUUGCGGGUAAACCUGGGACAGGUGGCGCCCGGCAGGGUCUGCAGGGCUUUGACUUCGGCUGCAUCUGGGACAUUCGACAGAAGGGGAAGGUGAAAGAACGUUUCCUGGUGGAGGCACGAGUCCUCUCUAGCCCACCGCUGCAGGAAGGAAAGGAUCUUGUUCUCGGUACUGGGGAUAAAGCAGUGACCAAGAGAGAAAAAGAGUCCCAGUGCUCAUUUGGGAGAGAUGGAUGAUAGAAAGAAACUUCGGACAGUGACCAAGUCGCCUUGUUGUUGUCGUGGAGAUUUUCCUGCUACUGCUGCUGCCGCCGCCACUACCACUGGGCUCAUUUGCCCUGACCCCUUCCCACCGCCCCACCCCCAGCCCCACACAAGAUGUCAGAGGAUUUAGCAAAGCAGCUGGCAAGCUACAAAGCUCAGCUCCAGCAAGUUGAAGCUGCAUUAUCUGGAAAUGGAGAAAAUGAAGAUUUGCUAAACUUGAAGAAAGAUUUACAAGAAGUUAUAGAACUAACCAAAGACCCUCUGUCAACUCAACCUUCUGAGAUGCUUGCAAGUUCAGACAGUUUUGCUUCUACUCAACCUACUCAUUCAUGGAAAGUAGGAGACAAGUGUAUGGCAAUCUGGAGUGAAGAUGGAUAGUGCUAUGAAGCGGAGAUUGAAGAGAUAGAUGAAGAAAAUGGCACUGCUGCAAUCACUUUUGCUGGUUAUGGCAAUGCUGAAGUGACUUCACUGUUGAACCUCAAGCCUGUAGAAGAAGGAAGGAAGGCAAAGGAGGACAGUGGUAACAAACCCGUGUCAAAAAAAGAAAUGAUUGCCCAGCAGCAUGAAUAUAAAAAGAAGAAGGCUUUGAAAAAAGCUCAGAGAAUAAAAGAACUUGAGCAGGAAAGAGAGGACCAGAAAGUGAAAUGGCAACAAUUCAACAACAGAGCCUAUUCCAAAAGCAAAAAAGGCCAGGCAAAGAGGAGUAUUUUUGCUUCACCUGAGAGUGUGACUGGCAAAGUUGGAGUAGGAACUUGUGGAAUUGCCGAUAAACCUAUGACACAAUAUCAAGAUACCUCUGUAUAUAAUGUCAGGCAUUUGAUGCCUCAAUAAUCAGAAAAACUGUUGGAUUUCAUCUCUGCAGGGCUUUACAUUUACCUUUUUAUCCUUAUAUUUUUCUAAAGGUAAAUUAUUUGUUAGAUGAGUAAGCAAGAUACCAUUGUCGUCAUUGGUUGACUUCACUAGAAUGAAACGUGAAGAAAUUGCAUUUGAUAACUGCUAUUUGUUUAACUUUUCUCGUUAUCAGUACCACGGUUCCCUCAAAGUUUGUUGAAUAAAGCAACUUUUGUAGAUGCUGUUUCAUACAGCA